AUUGAACGCUGGCGGCAUGCCUUACACAUGCAAGUCGAACGGCAGCACGGGGGCAACCCUGGUGGCGAGUGGCGGACGGGUGAGUAAUGCAUCGGAACGUGCCCUGAAGUGGGGGAUAACGCAGCGAAAGCUACGCUAAUACCGCAUAUUCUGUGAGCAGGAAAGCAGGGGAUCGCAAGACCUUGCGCUUUGGGAGCGGCCGAUGUCGGAUUAGCUAGUUGGUGGGGUAAAGGCCUACCAAGGCGACGAUCCGUAGCGGGUCUGAGAGGAUGAUCCGCCACACUGGGACUGAGACACGGCCCAGACUCCUACGGGAGGCAGCAGUGGGGAAUUUUGGACAAUGGCGAAAGCCUGAUCCAGCCAUGCCGCGUGAGUGAAGAAGG
RNAcentral lists this ribosomal RNA (383 nucleotides) under uncultured bacterium. RNAcentral describes it as "bacterial SSU rRNA". It matches the Rfam family "Bacterial small subunit ribosomal RNA", at positions 29 to 414 of the family's 1533-position model. The record is from RNAcentral.